AUAACAUAAAGGUUUGGUCCUAGCCUUUCUAUUAGCUUCUAGUAAGAUUAUACAUGCAAGUCUCCGCACUCCGGUGAAAAUGCCCUCUGGAUCACCUAAACGACUCAGAGGAGCGGGUAUCAAGCACGCUACAAAGCAGCUCAAAACACCUUGCCUAGCCACACCCCCACGGGACACAGCAGUGAUAAAAAUUAAGCCAUGAACGAAAGUUUGACUAAGCUAUACUAAUAAUUAGGGUUGGUAAAUUUCGUGCCAGCCACCGCGGUCAUACGAUUAACCCAAGUUAAUAGACAAACGGCGUAAAACGUGUUAAGGGGCCAUCACAUAACUAAUAAAGUUAAAUCAAAACUGUGCCGUAGAAAGCUUCAGCCCAGACAAAAAUAAACCACGAAAGUGACUUUAAAUUAACCCGACUACACGAUAGCUAAGACAUAAACUGGGAUUAGAUACCCCACUAUACUUAGCCCUAAACCAAAAUAGCUAAUAUAUAACAAUGCUAUUCGCCAGAGUACUACUAGCAACAGCUUAAAACUCAAAGGACUUGGCGGUGCUUUAUAUCCCUCUAGAGGAGCCUGUUCUAUAAUCGAUACACCCCGAUAAACCUCACCAACUCUAGCUAAUACAGCCUAUAUACCGCCAUCUUCAGCAAACCCUAAAAAGGAACUACAGUAAGCAAGAACAUUUACCAUAAAAACGUUAGGUCAAGGUGUAGCCUAUGAGUUGGAAAGAAAUGGGCUACAUUUUCUAAUAUAGAAUACAACGAAAAUUUUCGUGAAACCGAAAAUAGAAGGAGGAUUUAGUAGUAAACUAAGAAUAGAGAGCUUAGUUGAAUAAGGCCAUGAAGCACGCACACACCGCCCGUCACCCUCCUCAAGCGCAAAAAUGCAUUCAUAUAUAAACUUAUUUACAACGCAUAUACACGUAAGAGGAGACAAGUCGUAACAAGGUAAGCGUACUGGAAGGUGCGCUUGGACAAACCAAAGUGUAGCUUAUGUAAAGCACCUGGCUUACACCCAGAAGAUUCCAUGCAAAAUGGCCACUUUGAACAAACGCUAGCCCACACCCCCACAAAAACUCAACUAACACACAAACAAUAAAACAAAACAUUUACCCCUAAUUAAAGUAUAGGAGAUAGAAAUUCUAAUAGGCGCUAUAGAGAUAGUACCGCAAGGGAAAGAUGUAAGAAGAGUUAAAAGUAAGAAAUAGCAAAGAUUACCCCUUGUACCUUUCGCAUAAUGAUUUAACCAGAACAACUUGACAAAGAGAACUUAAGCCAAGGAACCCGAAACCAGACGAGCUACCUGAAGACAGCUAUUAGAGCAAACUCAUCUAUGUGGCAAAAUAGUGAGAAGAUCAUUAGGUAGUGGUGAAAAGCCUAUCGAGCCUGGUGAUAGCUGGUUGUCCAGGACAGAAUUUUAGUUCAACUUUAAGUCAUGCCAGACAAAUUUAUAAUUAAAAUGCAGACUUAAAAUAUAUUCUAAAAGGGUACAGCCUUUUAGAGACAGGAUACAACCUUUAUUAGAGAGUAAGUACAAAAACUUUCAUAGUCGGCUUAAAAGCAGCCACCAAUUAAGAAAGCGUUCAAGCUCAACAACCAUAAUAAAAUUGAAUAUAGAUAAUAUACUACGAACUCCUAAUCCAAUACUGGACUAAUCUAUUACACUAAUAGAAGUAAUACUGUUAAUAUAAGUAACAAGAACAAGUUUCUCCCCCGCACAAGCUUAUAUCAGAACGGAUAACCCACUGAUAGUUAACAGCAAGAUAAAUCAAACUUCACAACCUAACACUUUAUCAAAUUAACUGUUGACCCAACACAGGAGUGCGCCAAGGGAAAGAUUAAAAGAAGUAAAAGGAACUCGGCAAACACAAACCCCGCCUGUUUACCAAAAACAUCACCUCCAGCAUAUCAAUUAUUGGAGGCACUGCCUGCCCAGUGACAUCUGUUAAACGGCCGCGGUAUCCUGACCGUGCAAAGGUAGCAUAAUCAUUUGUUCUCUAAAUAAGGACUUGCAUGAAUGGCCACACGAGGGUUUUACUGUCUCUUACUUCCAAUCAGUGAAAUUGACCUUCCCGUGAAGAGGCGGGAAUACACAAAUAAGACGAGAAGACCCUAUGGAGCUUCAAUUAACCAACCCACAAAUUAACAAAACACAAUUCCAAGGAAUAUAAACCUCAUUUAAAUGGGUUGACAAUUUAGGUUGGGGUGACCUCGGAACAUAAAAUAACUUCCGAGUGAUAAAGUUCUAGACUAACAAGUCAACAUAUUAUAAUAAUCACUUAUUGAUCCAAAAAAUUUGAUCAACGGAACAAGUUACCCUAGGGAUAACAGCGCAAUUCUGUUUGAGAGUCCAUAUCGAUAACAGGGUUUACGACCUCGAUGUUGGAUCAGGACAUCCCAAUGGUGCAGCCGCUAUUAAUGGUUCGUUUGUUCAACGAUUAAAGUCCUACGUGAUCUGAGUUCAGACCGGAGUAAUCCA
Molecule: non-coding RNA, 2477 nt
Filed under: Melonycteris melanops (black-bellied fruit bat)
Lineage: Eukaryota; Metazoa; Chordata; Mammalia; Chiroptera; Pteropodidae
Description: partial 12S ribosomal RNA
Rfam family: Bacterial large subunit ribosomal RNA (bases 1123-2477)
Source: RNAcentral